This 461-nucleotide ribosomal RNA is filed under the name uncultured bacterium. Its description in RNAcentral is "bacterial SSU rRNA". It matches the Rfam family "Bacterial small subunit ribosomal RNA", at positions 330 to 792 of the family's 1533-position model. The record is from RNAcentral.
CCCAGACUCCUACGGGAGGCAGCAGUGGGGAAUAUUGCACAAUGGGGGGAACCCUGAUGCAGCGACGCCGCGUGGGUGAAGGAGCACCUCGGUGCGUAAAGCCCUAUCGGCAGGGAAGAAAAGCGAACAGGUUCGCCUGGACGGUACCUGACUAAGAAGCCCCGGCUAACUACGUGCCAGCAGCCGCGGGAAUACGGAGGGGGCAAGCGUUAUCCGGAUUUACUGGGUGUAAAGGGAGCGUAGACGGCUGCGCAAGUCGGAAGUGAAAGCCCGGGGCUCAACCGCGGGACUGCUUUUGAAACUGUGUAGCUAGAGUGCAGGAGAGGUAAGUGGAAUUCCUAGUGUAGCGGUGAAAUGCGUAGAUAUUAGGAGGAACACCGGUGGCGAAGGCGGCUUACUGGACUGUAACUGACGUUGAGGCUCGAAAGCGUGGGGAGCAAACAGGAUUAGAUACCCGUGUA